RNAcentral lists this ribosomal RNA (277 nucleotides) under unidentified marine bacterioplankton. Its description in RNAcentral is "partial 16S ribosomal RNA". It matches the Rfam family "Bacterial small subunit ribosomal RNA", at positions 59 to 339 of the family's 1533-position model. The record is from RNAcentral.
AAGUCGGACGAUGAAGUCCUUCGGGAAUGGAUCAGUGGCGAACGGGUGAGGAACACGUGAGAAACCUGCCUUUCAUUCUGGGAUAACACUGGGAAACCGGUGCUAAUACCGGAUACUCCAUCUUGGCGGCAUCGCCGAGCUGGGAAAAAAUUUUGAUGAAAGAUGGUCUCGCGGCCUAUCAGCUAGUUGGUGAGGUAAAGGCUCACCAAGGCGACGACGGGUAGCCGGCCUGAGAGGGCGACCGGCCACACUGGGACUGAGACACGGCCCAGACUCC